This 67-nucleotide transfer RNA is filed under the name Helictopleurus quadripunctatus. RNAcentral describes it as "tRNA-His". The record is from RNAcentral. Lineage: Eukaryota; Metazoa; Arthropoda; Insecta; Coleoptera; Scarabaeidae.
AUUUAAAUAGUUUAAUGUAAAAUAUUGAUUUGUGGAAUCAAAGAUAUAUUAUUUAAUAUUUUAAAUA